CAGUAGACUCCAGAGACCUCACCUGUGCAUUCAACAACCACCAAUUUUGAUGAAAGUGUAAAGGAACACAUAGACAAUUUGAUACUAAAGGUAGCAUGAGAUAACAACCAUGUGAGCUACACAAGUAAACUUUGUUGCUUUCCGUCUAACAGCUUAUUCGAGGAUUUUAGAAUUCAGAAUUUAUGCUGAAAGAGACUUGUUUCCAGUGGAGAUCUCCUGCAUGAACAGAAAAAUUAUUGACAAAAUAACUGCAGUAUAUCUUGCAAGCUCCAGCAGUUAAGGUCAUGAUGUCUCCACUAGUUCUUGCAUUAAUAGCUGAAUUUACAGCCGAUAAGAUUUGAUCCUGUUC
Molecule: long non-coding RNA, 349 nt
Organism: Nicotiana attenuata
Lineage: Eukaryota; Viridiplantae; Streptophyta; Magnoliopsida; Solanales; Solanaceae
Exons: 4
Source: RefSeq, a predicted model, not a curated record